UUAUAGUUUAGUGGCGACGGGUGAGUAACACGUGAGCAACCUGCCUUCGAGAGGGGAAUAACGGCUGGAAACGGUCGCUAAUACCGCAUAACAUACAGGAGGGACAUCCCUUUUGUAUCAAAGAUUUAUCGCUCGAAGAUGGGCUCGCGUCCGAUUAGGUAGUUGGUGAGGUAACGGCCCACCAAGCCGACGAUCGGUAGCCGGACUGAGAGGUUGAACGGCCACAUUGGGACUGAGACACGGCCCAGACUCCUACGGAAGGCAGCAG
RNAcentral lists this ribosomal RNA (268 nucleotides) under uncultured bacterium. RNAcentral's name for it is "partial 16S ribosomal RNA". It matches the Rfam family "Bacterial small subunit ribosomal RNA", at positions 85 to 354 of the family's 1533-position model. The record is from RNAcentral.